UAGACUCAUUUUGAAAUAAAUGUGAGCUCGGGAGUAAUGAGGAGUGAUGAAAGGAUUUAUUCAUCGCUCCUGAGCUCACAUUUAUCCCAUAAUGGGUCCUUGACCCUAAUUGAUUCACCAGUAGAGGGACAAGCUUCAUGUAAAUAAGCGU
Molecule: microRNA precursor, 151 nt
Filed under: Glycine max (soybean)
Lineage: Eukaryota; Viridiplantae; Streptophyta; Magnoliopsida; Fabales; Fabaceae
Description: miR1523b stem-loop (gma-MIR1523b)
Rfam family: MIR1523 microRNA precursor family (bases 5-95)
Source: miRBase by way of RNAcentral